Potamilus streckersoni is the source of this 77-nucleotide non-coding RNA. The record is from the annotation of a GenBank genome assembly. NCBI's taxonomy places the organism in Eukaryota, Metazoa, Mollusca, Bivalvia, Unionida, Unionidae.
GACCGUUCUGGUGGCCUAGUGGUUAGAGCGUCCGCCUCGGAUGCGGAAGGUUGUGGGUUCGAACCCCGGCUGAGUCA